Molecule: ribosomal RNA, 137 nt
Filed under: uncultured bacterium
Lineage: Bacteria
Description: partial 16S ribosomal RNA
Rfam family: Bacterial small subunit ribosomal RNA
Source: RNAcentral
CCUACGGGAGGCAGCAGUAGGGAAUCUUCCACAAUGGACGAAAGUCUGAUGGAGCAACGCCGCGUGAGUGAAGAAGGUUUUCGGAUCGUAAAACUCUGUUGUUGGAGAAGAAUGUAUCUGAUAGUAACUGAUCAGGU